UGGGGAAUAUUGCACAAUGGAGGGAACUCUGAUGCAGCGACGCCGCGUGAACGAAGAAGGCUUUCGAGUCGUAAAGUUCUUUUAUAUGGGAAGAUAAUGACGGUACCAUAAGAAGAAGCCCCGGCUAACUACGUGCCAGCAGCCGCGGUAAUACGUAGGGGGCUAGCGUUGUCCGGAAUCACUGGGCGUAAAGGGUUCGCAGGCGGAAAUGCAAGUCAGGUGUAAAAGGCAGUAGCUUAACUACUGUAAGCAUUUGAAACUGCAUAUCUUGAGAAGAGUAGAGGGAAGUGGAAUUUUUAGUGUAGCGGUGAAAUGCGUAGAUAUUAAAAAGAAUACCGGUGGCGAAGGCGACUUACUGGGCUCAUUCUGACGCUGAGGAACGAAAGCGUGGGUAGCAAACAGG
Molecule: ribosomal RNA, 403 nt
Filed under: bacterium
Lineage: Bacteria
Description: partial 16S ribosomal RNA
Rfam family: Bacterial small subunit ribosomal RNA
Source: RNAcentral